Non-coding RNA from Mycena maculata, 79 nucleotides. Lineage: Eukaryota; Fungi; Basidiomycota; Agaricomycetes; Agaricales; Mycenaceae. The record is from the annotation of a GenBank genome assembly.
GGCACUUUAGCUCAGUUGGUUAAGAUGACACACAGCUAUAAAACUGUGGAGGCUCAGGGUUUGAAUCCCGGAGCUGUCA